GCCGCUUUCACUUUCACUGUCCGC
Molecule: non-coding RNA, 24 nt
Filed under: Arabidopsis thaliana (thale cress)
Lineage: Eukaryota; Viridiplantae; Streptophyta; Magnoliopsida; Brassicales; Brassicaceae
Source: RNAcentral